RNAcentral lists this small nuclear RNA (161 nucleotides) under Helianthus annuus (common sunflower). RNAcentral's name for it is "U1 spliceosomal RNA". It matches the Rfam family "U1 spliceosomal RNA". From Rfam's summary of the family: U1 is a small nuclear RNA (snRNA) component of the spliceosome (involved in pre-mRNA splicing). Lineage: Eukaryota; Viridiplantae; Streptophyta; Magnoliopsida; Asterales; Asteraceae. The record is from RNAcentral.
UCACUUACCUGGACGGGGUCAAUUGGUGAUCAAGAAGGUCCAUGGCCUAGGUUGGUUACCUCCAUUGCACUCAGGAGGGGUGCCCGCCUAAGGUCGGCCCAAGUGGUCGAGCCUACGUCAUAAUUUGUGGCAGUGGGGGCUUGCGUUCGCGCAGCCCCUGC